This 272-nucleotide long non-coding RNA is filed under the name Gossypium raimondii (Peruvian cotton). RNAcentral's name for it is "long non-coding RNA (GRAI_LNC002857)". Lineage: Eukaryota; Viridiplantae; Streptophyta; Magnoliopsida; Malvales; Malvaceae. The record is from RNAcentral.
GGGUUUUUAGUUUUCAACAAUUUUCAUUGACUCUUAUCCUUAGGUUUUUAUUUUUAUUUUUGUUUUUUUGUUGUUCCUUUACGCAUUUUAACACUUUAUUGUUUCUUGUGUUAGUAGGUUAAAGCACGUUGCACAAUCCUUCCUCUGUGCAACAAAAUUCUUUGAUAUCUAGCCGAUUUUGGACUCAUAGUGCUAUUAGAUUUGUUUUGUUAGUUUGAUCCUAAUACAUUCUGAUUGAUUGAUAUAGAAAAUUUUUAAAAGACUCACAAGAC